This 256-nucleotide ribosomal RNA is filed under the name uncultured bacterium. RNAcentral's name for it is "partial 16S ribosomal RNA". It matches the Rfam family "Bacterial small subunit ribosomal RNA", at positions 524 to 776 of the family's 1533-position model. The record is from RNAcentral.
UACGUAGGGUGCAAGCGUUGUCCGGAAUUAUUGGGCGUAAAGAGCUCGUAGGCGGUCUGUCGCGUCUGCUGUGAAAACUCGGGGCUUAACCCCGGGCCUGCAGUGGGUACGGGCAGACUAGAGUGCGGUAGGGGAGACUGGAAUUCCUGGUGUAGCGGUGAAAUGCGCAGAUAUCAGGAGGAACACCGGUGGCGGAAGGCGGGGUCUCUGGGGCCGUAACUGACGCUGAGGAGCGAAAGCGUGGGGAGCGAACAGG